This is a long non-coding RNA of Hyposmocoma kahamanoa, 829 nucleotides long. RefSeq lists it as uncharacterized. NCBI's taxonomy places the organism in Eukaryota, Metazoa, Arthropoda, Insecta, Lepidoptera, Cosmopterigidae. The record is from RefSeq and is a predicted model, not a curated record. The transcript is spliced from 3 exons.
GGUGUAAAUGCGUCAUUAGGGUGUUAAGGUCCCUAAUUAGGGAGACUUAUAUAAAAGUCAAUAAAAGCUGCGCCCUAAUUAAGGGCCAUGACCAUGCAGACCCUUGAAAUCAAAUAAUCAUUAAGUGCGGGACAGUCUUGCCUUUACAAAGGCUCAAACCAUCUAUGGAUCAAACACGAUAUCACACGAUGACGUCGGAGUCGCGCGCCGUUUUCAACUUUCUGGUCGUCACCGAUACGGCUGGAUUCGAACCAACGUCUUCCAGCAAACUUUAGACGCACGCGGUCGCUGAGUGGCGGCAACCCGGACUCCGCGCUUCGACCGCGCGGGGUGGGCGCGAUGAAAUUCGUCCCGUCACUUGGUAUCAUCAAAAAAACUCUCUUCAUAUUUGAAAUACUCUCAAGAAAAAUAAAAGCUUAGCAAUAUAUCAUUUUUAUUUAAUUUUACACAUAUAUUACACAAUAUUAUUUUUUUUCAUUCUGCUCACUAUUUUCACUAAAUGCUUAAUAUAAUUCAAAUAUUUACAGAUAUUUUUUGGAUUUGUAUUUCAUAAAUUACAUUAUUUGAACAUCGUCUAUUUUGGUACAACACAUAUACGCUAAUACAUUAUUUUUUAAUUUUCAAAAUCACAGUACAUUAUGAAAUUUUUGCUAAGUUCAUAUAACUAAUAAGCGGUUUGAUAGUCAAUAGUUUCGAUAUCGACGUAAAGCAUUAAAGGUAGAUCGCAUAAAUCAGCCCUCGUCCAAAAAGCUACAGAACCGCGCGGGAAGACGACAUUGAAUCGCACCAGGGCAGGGCAAUGGGCAGAACAUACGUUAUGACAGGUCGC